AACGAACGCUGGCGGCAUGCCUAACACAUGCAAGUCGAACGAGACCUUCGGGUCUAGUGGCGCACGGGUGCGUAACGCGUGGGAACCUGCCCUUAGGUUCGGAAUAACUCUCCGAAAGGGGUGCUAAUACCGGAUAAUGUCUUCGGACCAAAGAUUUAUCGCCUUUGGAUGGGCCCGCGUUGGAUUAGCUAGUUGGUAGGGUAAAAGCCUACCAAGGCGACGAUCCAUAGCUGGUCUGAGAGGAUGAUCAGCAACACUGGGACUGAGACGCGGCCCAGACUCCUACGGGAGGCAGGAGUGGGGGAUAUUGGACAAUGGGGGGAAGGCUGAACCCGCCAUGCCGCGUAAGUUAUGAAGGUCUUAAGGUUGUAAAGCUCUUUUACCCGGGAUGAUAAUGACAGUACCGGAAGAAUAAGCUCCGGCUAACUCCGUG
Molecule: ribosomal RNA, 433 nt
Filed under: uncultured bacterium
Lineage: Bacteria
Description: partial 16S ribosomal RNA
Rfam family: Bacterial small subunit ribosomal RNA
Source: RNAcentral